GACGAAUGCUGGCUGCGUGCUUAACACAUGCAAGUCGAACGGUGAAGGGGAGCUUGCUCCCCGGAUCAGUGGCGAACGGGUGAGUAACACGUGGGCAACCUGCCCCCCACUCUGGGAUAACUCCGGGAAACCGGGGCUAAUACCGGAUACGACCGGGAGCGACAUCGCUCCUGGUGGAAAGCACUUCGGUGAGGGAUGGGCCCGCGGCCUAUCAGCUAGUUGGUGGGGUAACGGCCCACCAAGGCGACGCCGGGUAGCCGGCCUGAGAGGGCGACCGGCCACACUGGGACUGAGACACGGCCCAGACUCCUACGGGAGGCAGCAGUGGGGAAUAUUGCGCAAUGGGCGAAAGCCUGACGCAGCGACGCAGCGUGAGGGACGAAGGCCUUCGGGUUGUAAACCUCUUUCAGCGGGGACGAAGCGAAAGUGACGGUACCCGCAGAAGAAGCACCGGCUAACUACGUGCCAGCAGCCGCCGUAA
This 481-nucleotide ribosomal RNA is filed under the name uncultured bacterium. Its description in RNAcentral is "partial 16S ribosomal RNA". It matches the Rfam family "Bacterial small subunit ribosomal RNA", at positions 28 to 523 of the family's 1533-position model. The record is from RNAcentral.